GAUGAACGCUAGCUACAGGCUUAACACAUGCAAGUCGAGGGGUAACGAGAGGAAAGCUUGCUUUCCUCGUCGACGACCGGCGCACGGGUGAGUAACGCGUAUCCAACCUGCCCCCAACUAGGGAAUAACCUUGCGAAAGUAAGACUAAUACCCUAUAAUUUCCUCAGAUGUCAUCUGACGAGGAAUAAAGAUUUAUCGGUUGUGGAUGGGGAUGCGUCUGAUUAGCUUGUUGGCGGGGUAACGGCCCACCAAGGCAACGAUCAGUAGGGGUUCUGAGAGGAAGGUCCCCCACAUUGGAACUGAGACACGGUCCAAACUCCUACGGGAGGCAGCAGUGAGGAAUAUUGGUCAAUGGGCGGAAGCUUGAACCAGCCAAGUAGCGUGCAGGAUGACGGCCCUAUGGGUUGUAAACUGCUUUUAUACAGGAAUAAAGUUAGCCACGUGUGGUUAUUUGUAGGUACUGUAUGAAUAAGGACCGACUAAUUCCGUGCCAGCAGCCGCGGUAA
RNAcentral lists this ribosomal RNA (506 nucleotides) under uncultured bacterium. RNAcentral describes it as "partial 16S ribosomal RNA". It matches the Rfam family "Bacterial small subunit ribosomal RNA", at positions 28 to 523 of the family's 1533-position model. The record is from RNAcentral.